AAAAAAAAAAAAACUGGAUUUCUAUAUACAACGUUUAACUGUCUAUCUUAUAUGAAAUUUUUUUAUAAUUAGUAUUUUUAAACAUAAUUAAUACUUUAUGCGUGACUUGUCUUUUUAAUUUUUUUUUAUAAUUUUUUUAAAUAAGACGGACGGUCAAACGUUGAACACGGAAACUUAGGUUUGUUUUUUUU
RNAcentral lists this microRNA precursor (191 nucleotides) under Oryza sativa Japonica Group (Japanese rice). Its description in RNAcentral is "MIR812 microRNA precursor family". It matches the Rfam family "MIR812 microRNA precursor family". The record is from Rfam by way of RNAcentral. Lineage: Eukaryota; Viridiplantae; Streptophyta; Magnoliopsida; Poales; Poaceae.